RNAcentral lists this unclassified non-coding RNA (337 nucleotides) under soil metagenome. Its description in RNAcentral is "partial contains 5.8S ribosomal RNA, internal transcribed spacer 2, and large subunit ribosomal RNA". The stretch from base 1 to 120 matches the Rfam family "5.8S ribosomal RNA", at positions 35 to 154 of the family's 154-position model. The record is from RNAcentral.
GAUGAAGAACGCAGCGAAAUGCGAUAAGUAGUGUGAAUUGCAGAAUUCAGUGAAACAUCGAAUCUUUGAACGCACAUUGCGCCCCUUGGUAUUCCAUGGGGCAUGCCUGUUCGAGCGUCAUUUGUACCUUCAAGCUCUGCUUGGUGUUGGGUGUUUGUCUCGCCUCUGCGUGUAGACUCGCCUCAAAACAAUUGGCAGCCGGCGUAUUGAUUUCGGAGCGCAGUACAUCUCGCGCUUUGCACUCAUAACGACGACGUCCAAAAGUACAUUUUUACACUCUUGACCUCGGAUCAGGUAGGGAUACCCGCUGAACUUAAGCAUAUCAAUAAGCAGAGGA